AACUCGAUAAUCCACGUAUACUCAACCCUCUCUAGACUAUACAGCAUGUAUACUGCCGUUGUAAGCAUACCUUUAAAAGACAAGUAUGCUAUUAUGACUAAUAAUAACUCAUACACAUCAGGUCAAAGUGCAGCCAAUAAGGGGGUGACGAUGGGUUACAACCCUAAAACAGACUAUCAACUAAGAAAUAAAAAAUCUUAUGAAAGUGGACUUGGCCGUAAUUAAUUUACAAGUUAAAAAAAUGAAUAAAAAUCUAAGACAUGUACACAUCGCCCGUCACUCUAUCCUAAAGGUUAGAUAAGUCGUAACAAAGUAGGUGUAAUGGAAAUUGUACCUGUCGAAGUAUAGCAUAUAUAAUGCUUUUUACUUACACUAAAAAUAAAGUUACAAACUUACUUCGCAUAAAUAGAACAAUCUUAUAAAUAUUAAAGUAAUAUAAACAAUUAAAACAAAAAUAAAUAACAAAGUACAGAAAUGGAAAUAACAAUAAACAAAAGUAACCCUUAACAAAUGUACCUUGUGCAUUAUGGUUUUACAAGAAAAUAGUUUAAAACACUAAUCCCGAAUUCUAAAUGAGAUGUUAAACUGCUGUUAAGAACCCAUUAAUAACUGUAGAAAAAGUUCUAAAAGACAGUUUAACAGAGGCUACAUACCAUCCGCAUAAGAAUAUAGCUGGUUUUCAACAAACAUUAUACAUUAAACCAUAUAAUUGUAUUAUAGUGUAAAAUUAUUGAGGAUAAGCCCAAUAAUACAAGCAAUGCCAAAAUUAAACCCAUUUUCCCAAAUAGGCCUAAAAUCAGCCAGCAAAAAUACUUUACCGUAAAAAAUAAAGGUAAAAUAUAUAACACAAACCAUGCCAAAUAAAGUUGAAAUAUAGAGAAAACACUAUCAUCCUGAUUUAAUAUGUAAAAAUAAGUAUUAUAUAAAAUAUUAAUAACAAUCUAGACAUAGCAACACACAAAACAACAAUUAUUAAUUAAGGAACUCGGCAAACCAUUGUUUCGACUGUUUAACAAAAACAUUGUCUCAUGAAUAAUAUAUGAGAUAAU
This 1049-nucleotide ribosomal RNA is filed under the name Amynthas corticis. RNAcentral describes it as "partial 12S ribosomal RNA". Lineage: Eukaryota; Metazoa; Annelida; Clitellata; Crassiclitellata; Megascolecidae. The record is from RNAcentral.